GAAAUGCGAUAAGUAGUGUGAAUUGCAGAAUUCAGUGAAUCAUCGAAUCUUUGAACGCACAUUGCGCACCUUGGUAUUCCAUGGGGCAUGCCUGUUCGAGCGUCAUUUGUACCCUCAAGCUCUGCUUGGUGUUGGGUGUUUGUCCCCGUCUCCGCGCGUGGACUCGCCCCAAAGUGAUUGGCAGCCGGCGUACUGGUCCCGGAGCGCAGCACAUGUCGCGCAAACGAGUGCCUUGGUACGGCGGCGUCCAUAAGCCCCUCUCUCACGCUCUUGACCUCGGAUCAGGUAGGGAUACCCGCUGAACUUAAGC
Molecule: unclassified non-coding RNA, 310 nt
Filed under: plant metagenome
Description: partial contains 5.8S ribosomal RNA, internal transcribed spacer 2, and large subunit ribosomal RNA
Rfam family: 5.8S ribosomal RNA (bases 1-105)
Source: RNAcentral